AGUGGGAUAACUGGGUCAAAUGGUGGUUCCAUUCCAAGUUUUCUAAGGAAUAUCCAUACUGCUUUCCAGAGUGGUUGCACCAAUUUUAAUUCCCACCAGCAAU
This 103-nucleotide microRNA precursor is filed under the name Marmota monax (woodchuck). Lineage: Eukaryota; Metazoa; Chordata; Mammalia; Rodentia; Sciuridae. The record is from RNAcentral.